This 389-nucleotide ribosomal RNA is filed under the name Enoplognatha margarita. Its description in RNAcentral is "partial 16S ribosomal RNA". It matches the Rfam family "Bacterial large subunit ribosomal RNA", at positions 1809 to 2538 of the family's 2925-position model. Lineage: Eukaryota; Metazoa; Arthropoda; Arachnida; Araneae; Theridiidae. The record is from RNAcentral.
AAAAACAUAACUUAUAGAACUAAUUAUAAGCAUAACCUGCUCAAUGAAUAUUAAAUAGCCGCAGUUUAUCUGUGCUAAGGUAGCAUAAUCAUUUGUUUUCUAAUUAAAAACUUGAAUGAAAGGUUUCACAUUUUAAUUUUUUUAUUUUAAAAUAUUAAUUAAAAUUAUAUUUAAUGUAAAAAUACAUUAAUUUUAAAAAUAGACGACAAGACCCUAUCGAACUUAACUUUUGUUUAGCUGGGGCAGCUAAUUAAAUAAAAUUUUAAUAACUUAAGACAAUAAAUGAUCCAAUAAAAUUGAUUACUUAAUCAAGUUACCGUAGGGAUAACAGCGUAAUAUUCUUUAAAAGCUCUUAUUAAAAAGAAAAUUUGCGACCUCGAUGUUGAAUU